AGGCUGAGCGAGCGAGAGCAGCCGCAGCCCGCAGGAGGCCCCGUCCCCUCUCAAUGGAGGAGCAGCCCGGCCCCCCAGCGCCGCCGCCGCCCCAACAGCAGCAGCCACCCCAGCAGCAGCAGCAGGCGCCGCCGCCGCCGCAGCCCCACUAUCACCACCACCACCAUCACCACCACCAGUCCUUCUACUACUACAAUCACCACCACCACCAGUACUCGGCCGACGGCAGCCCCGGCAAGGCCCAGCCGCAGAAGCCGCCCCUGCAAGCCCUGAAACAUGAGCCCAAGCCCGCAGCAGCAGGAGGCAGCGGCAGCCUCCAGCAGCAGGAAGCGCCCAGGAAGAAAACAGGCCACGGUGAGCUCAAUGGGAAUGUCGGGGAAAGAGAAGUAUCUGUAAAGAGUCUAAACUCGGUGGAAUCCGCCAGCCUUAUUUCCAGGGUUCCCAAUGGUAGCCAGCAGCCCGGAGAUACUAGCCUCAUGCUCAGACAGACUGUGAAGGGUGGCACCUUUGGAAAAGGUGGACUCAAAUCCAAGAAUUUCAUUCCAAAAGGAGGCAUGGACAGAAGGAAUGAGAAAUGUUAUGAAAACAAAACGAGGGAGAACCAACCCUCUGAAAAGUGCGAGGUGGUCUCUGUUCCCAACGGUGUCAUCACGAGCAGCUGUAGCUAUAUCACUAACGGUUACAUCAGCAAAGGGCUGGACAAUGACGGGAGUGGGUCAGAGAGCGGCUACACCACUCCCAAGAAGCGGAAAGGUAGGCGCAACAGUGCCAAGGGCUGUGAGAACCUGAAUCUGGUGCAGGAGAAAAUGCUCCAUGAACCUGUGGUCGCCACCUCGGCCUUAAAACCUGACCCCGAAGGUUUCAAAACUGACUGCGUUGAAAUGAAGGGGAGCAGAGUAGAUGGCAUGAAGCUUGCUUGGAAGUGUGAGGCGGGGGCCAUGGGAGCAGGCCGUGGGAAGCCUGGUGUCGGGGAUGUGCAGCGGAAGAACUCGGACAUCAAGGUUGGGGUCCCUAGCAAAAAGUUUGAGGAGCGGCCCAAGGGGAAACCUGUGUCAGCAGCUGCCUCCAAAGAGGAUUCUUGGACUCUCUUUAAACCACCGCCGGUUUUUCCGGUGGACAACAGCAGUGCAAAAAUUGUUCCUAAGAUCAGUUAUGCAAGCAAAGUAAAAGAGAACCUCAACAAAGCUGCACAAGCCCCGUCUUUGUCGUCGUCAUCUUCAUCGUCCUCCUCCUCUUCCUCUUCCUCCUUGUGUUUGUCGUCCGCCACUGAAGUCCAGCCCUCCAGCCGCCUUUCUCAAGUCCCCAUGUCCGCUAUGAAAUCCGUUACUUCUGCUAGCUUUUCCAAUGGUCCGCUUUUAGCCGGGGCCGACCGCAGUGUGUGUUCUACUGGGAGCCAGUCACUGCUCGCGCCUGCUGCUAGUGCCAUCUUGCUGGCCUCUUCGGAGUUAGUCCCCCAGGAUGCGGGUAUGACCUCGGCCACGGAGCAGAAGAAAUCGAGUCUUUUUAUCUACCCUUCAAAUAUGCAAGCUGUUCUCCUCAAUGCCGCGCCGGCUGAACCGUCAUUCCAGGCGAACCAACAGAGCCUUGGUGACAUCUUCCAGAACCAGUGGGGGUUAUCGUUUAUAAAUGAGCCCAAUGCGGGCCCUGAGACUGCGGCUAGGAAAUCGGUGGACAGUAAAUCCGAGGAGGUGACAUUUCAAGGGGAAUGCCCUACUGCUUUGGCUUCACAGGUUGCUGACGCAGCUCCCUCAGGACCUGACCAGCCUGUGUUCCCCAAGGCUUAUGAGCUGGACAAACGGACUAGUCCGCAGCUUCUUGGUAGCAUCGUAAAGCUUGGGACUGCUGGCGAGGGGGGUGGUUUUUUGUUGGAGUCCCAUCAAGCGAGCGGUCUGCACCCGGCUGAACUUAGUAGCCCAGGGGCAUUUAUCUUUCUCUCCAAGGACUAUCAUGUAGAGAAUCAGCUGGCCUCCCCUACGAACGGUUUGUUAGCCUCCACCAAAGAGCAGAGGUACCAGAGAGGCCUAGAAAGGAAAGAGAGCUGGGGUGAUUUUGACCUGAGGGCGGCUGUUCUAUAUCACACUCAAGAAAUGGAAUCUCUUUGUAAUUUGCAAAAGCAAGAUCCCAAAAGGAUAAUCACUUAUGGCGAAGCCAUGGAUCACCCUGACCAGUGAGGCCAGCGAGGAGGCACUGCCCGAGGGGGGGGCCUCCGGUGGCGACUGCGUGCUGUCCGCCGAGGCCAGGCAGCAGCUGCUUUGGUGCUCUUUCCGGAACUGUCUGGCACGGCAGGGGAAUCUGAACUAGAAUUGCAGGAUAAUAUAUACAAAUAUAUAUAUAAAUAUAAAUAUAUAUAUAUAGUUAUUUUAAAAAAUUUAAAAAAGGGCCUCUGGGCAUGAGGAGACUUCACAAGGAAUUGAUAGAGACUUGCAUUAUGGGAUUAUUUAAACUUCUGGUUCGGAAUUUUCACUUCCUCCUCUCCUUGCCUUUUUUUUUUGAGGGGGUGCGGGUUGUUCCAAGAGUGGACCUCAACUCCAACUGGACGCAGGCUCAGCCCACCCUGCUGGCUCUGGCCAUCUGUGAGAGAGAGUUCUUCAACUUUGGCUGGGAUCCUGCAGCCAUCUUGAACAUGCUAAUGAUGAGGAACUACCGGGGGAGAGGGGAGCCCUUGGCUUCUCGCCUCUCCCCUUCUCUCUUGCCAUGCUGCUGACCACCUCUUUCCCUCCCCCCUCCAGUUUUACUUGAAUCCUGCCGAAGAAGGCUGGGGAGGGGGGGAACCUGAGCAUUGCAAGGUUCUUCUCUCUGCUGCUCCCCCAUUGCGGGGAGGGGCGUCUUAAAACCUCACGUGUGUCUUCUUCCCUCUCUGGGGAAUGGUCACUCUGUGGUUCUGGAAUCCCAAAUUUAGGGCAUGAGGAACAAACCAUGGGGCUUGGCAAGACUGAAGUUGCAAUGAAGUGUGGAGUGCGCUGAAGCUUUCUCUUGGGAAAGGCUGCGAAAAGGCAGACAGGUGUGCUCCUCUUGGGAUGUGUGCGAAGCCACUGUUACCUCCACGCUCUGGGAUUCCUCCCCAUUCCCCAUGUGACAGGGCAGGCAUCUGCCGCAAUGCUUGUGUUUGGUUCAUGGUGUCCCUUUCUGGGUCCUACUGGUCUGUCAGGAGGCAAACAACCCAAUUUUUCUCCUCCCUUCUUCCCCCUCCUCCCACCCAGAGAUCUGUGCUGCCACCGUUUUAAAUUUUUUUUUUUGUUGUGUCCUUAACAUGCCUUUUAAAAACUUUAUUUGCUUCUAUUAAAGUUGCUCCUGGCAAAAAAAAAAAAUAAACCUUCACUUGGAGCCCUUUAAAA
Molecule: RNA transcript, 3335 nt
Organism: Heteronotia binoei (common prickly gecko)
Lineage: Eukaryota; Metazoa; Chordata; Lepidosauria; Squamata; Gekkonidae
Gene: NUFIP2
Gene name: nuclear FMR1 interacting protein 2
Exons: 5
Source: RefSeq, a predicted model, not a curated record